AUACUUACCUGGCAGGAGAGAUACCAUGAUCAAGAAGGUGGUUCACCCAGGGCGAGGCUCGGCCAUUGCACUCUGGCCUGCGAGUUCCCCAAAUGCGGGAAUCUUGACUGCGACUUGACUCUUUACGCUAGUGGGGGACUGUGGUUGCGCUCUUCCCUU
This is a small nuclear RNA of Betta splendens (Siamese fighting fish), 159 nucleotides long. Its record names the gene U1. It matches the Rfam family "U1 spliceosomal RNA". From Rfam's summary of the family: U1 is a small nuclear RNA (snRNA) component of the spliceosome (involved in pre-mRNA splicing). Its 5' end forms complementary base pairs with the 5' splice junction, thus defining the 5' donor site of an intron. NCBI's taxonomy places the organism in Eukaryota, Metazoa, Chordata, Actinopteri, Anabantiformes, Osphronemidae. The record is from Ensembl.